This 440-nucleotide ribosomal RNA is filed under the name uncultured bacterium. RNAcentral describes it as "partial 16S ribosomal RNA". It matches the Rfam family "Bacterial small subunit ribosomal RNA", at positions 338 to 795 of the family's 1533-position model. The record is from RNAcentral.
CCUACGGGGGGCAGCAGUAGGGAAUAUUGCUCAAUGGGGGAAACCCUGAUGCAGCAACGCCGCGUGGGGGAUGAAGCUUUUCGGCGCGUAAAGCCCUAUCGGCAGGGAAGAUAAUGACGGUAUCUAACGAAUAAGCACCGGCUAACUCCGUGCCAGCAGCCGCGGUAAUACGGAGGGUGCAAGCGUUACUCGGAAUCACUGGGCGUAAAGAGCGCGUAGGCGGGAUAGCAAGUCAGAUGUGAAAUCCUAUGGCUUAACCAUAGAACUGCAUUUGAAACUGUUAUUCUAGAGUAUGGGAGAGGUAGGUGGAAUUCUUGGUGUAGGGGUAAAAUCCGUAGAGAUCAAGAGGAAUACUCAUUGCGAAGGCGACCUGCUAGAACAUAACUGACGCUGAUGCGCGAAAGCGUGGGGAGCAAACAGGAUUAGAUACCCUAGUAGUC